AUGUGUUUCUUGGAUCUCAAUCUUACUUGGAUAACUGUGGUAAUUCUAGAGCUAAUACAUGCAAGAAGCCCUGACCUUACGGGAUGGGUGCACUUAUUAGAGCAAAACCAAUCGACUUCGGUCGUCCAAUUGGUGAAUCUGAAUAACUGAGCGGAUCGCACUGGUCUUAGUACCGGCGACAUAUCCUUCAAGUGUCUGCCUUAUCAACUUUCGAUGGUAGUUUAUACGCCUACCAUGGUUGUAACGGGUAACGGAAAAUCAGGGUUUGAUUCCGGAGAGGGCGCCUGAGAAAUGGCGACCACUUCUAAGGAAGGCAGCAGGCGUGUAACUUACCCACUCUCAGCACGAGGAGGUAGUGACGAAAAAUAUCGAGCUGGCGGUUUCAUACUGCCAGCAUCGGAAUGAGAACAAUGUAAACGUGUUAUCGAGUAACUAGCAGAGGGCAAGUCUGGUGCCAGCAGCCGCGGUAAUUCCAGCUCUGCAAGUGUAUGUCAAUGUUGCUGCG
RNAcentral lists this ribosomal RNA (505 nucleotides) under Sphaerolaimus hirsutus. Its description in RNAcentral is "bacterial SSU rRNA". It matches the Rfam family "Eukaryotic small subunit ribosomal RNA", at positions 111 to 617 of the family's 1831-position model. The record is from RNAcentral. Lineage: Eukaryota; Metazoa; Nematoda; Chromadorea; Monhysterida; Sphaerolaimidae.